GGAUUCAUAGCUCAGCUGUAGAGCUCCUGCUUAACAUGCAAAAGGUCAAAGGUUCGGUCCCUGGCAGCUCCA
This is a non-coding RNA of Podarcis lilfordi (Lilford's wall lizard), 72 nucleotides long. Lineage: Eukaryota; Metazoa; Chordata; Lepidosauria; Squamata; Lacertidae. The record is from the annotation of a GenBank genome assembly.